Entelurus aequoreus (snake pipefish) is the source of this 295-nucleotide long non-coding RNA. RefSeq lists it as uncharacterized. The record is from RefSeq and is a predicted model, not a curated record. NCBI's taxonomy places the organism in Eukaryota, Metazoa, Chordata, Actinopteri, Syngnathiformes, Syngnathidae. The transcript is spliced from 3 exons.
GUUCUGUGUUAAAUUUGCAAUUAUAAAUACUUGCAGGAAGUGAUGGCAAAGAAGGGCAAAGGGAAGUGUACAAAGGAAAAGGACAGUGAGAGUGGCCAGGAAGCGCGAAGAAGAAAACAGGGAAAGGGAAAAGAACCAAGCAAACGGACUAUAGUGAGACCAGUGAGCAUUGAGCAGGAAGAGAACCAACAAGAAGGGGCAGGAGUACACUGACGCGCACGACCAAGACCACUGCAUUCCAUUUCUAUUGUAUUAUAAUUAUCACUAAUAAAGAAUUAAUUCUGUUGAAAUCACU